Molecule: long non-coding RNA, 656 nt
Filed under: Mytilus galloprovincialis (Mediterranean mussel)
Lineage: Eukaryota; Metazoa; Mollusca; Bivalvia; Mytilida; Mytilidae
Source: RNAcentral
UUUAGAAGCAGUAAAAGACAGUAAAUAUUUAGGCGUAACUAUAAGCCAUGAUCUUGAUUGGGGAACACAUAUAAACAAUAUUACUUGUAAGGCAAAUAAAACCUUAGGUUUUCUUCGUAGGAACUUGAAAAACUGCACACGUAAGGUUAAAAACCUUACGUACACAUCACUUGUCCGUCCAGUCGUCGAAUACUCUUCCCCUGUCUGGGAUCCGUACAAAAAAACAACACAUCACUCAGGUUGAGCAGGUACAGCGUAAGGCAGCCAGGUUUGUCUUCAAUGAUUAUAAAGACAGAUCACCUGGAGCAGUUUCAAAUUUAAUUAAAUCAUUGGAAUGGGAAAAUUUAGAAAUAAGAAGGAAAAAAGCUAGAUUAACUAUGCUGUAUAAAAUAAAUUGGGGUUAGUUGAAGUUCCUAAGGACAAUUUAACAAUAUCUGAUAGACGUACUAGGGGGAAACAUAAAUUUAGGCAAAUAUCAACAAAUAAAGAUUUCUAUAAAUUUUCAUUCUAUCCUCGCACUAUUUCGGACUGGAACUCACUACCUGAAGCAAUAGGUAUGUCUGACACCCUGGAAUCCUUCAAAAGUGGCAUAUCCACUCUAACAUUUGAAGGAUCCACAACAACUUAUUAAACUACAAAGCCACUGUACAUAAUGU